GCCUGUUUAGCUCAGUGGUAGAGCGCUUGUCUUGUAAACAAGAGGUCGGUUGUUCAAUCCAGCCACCAGGCA
Non-coding RNA from Spinellus fusiger, 72 nucleotides. The record is from the annotation of a GenBank genome assembly. Lineage: Eukaryota; Fungi; Mucoromycota; Mucoromycetes; Mucorales; Phycomycetaceae.